RNAcentral lists this microRNA precursor (135 nucleotides) under Hordeum vulgare. Its description in RNAcentral is "microRNA MIR1122". It matches the Rfam family "MIR1120/MIR1122 microRNA precursor family". Lineage: Eukaryota; Viridiplantae; Streptophyta; Magnoliopsida; Poales; Poaceae. The record is from RNAcentral.
UAUGUACUUCCUUGGUCCCAAAUUUUUUGUCUUAGAUUUGUCUAGGUAUGAAUGUAUCUAGUCAUAUUUUAGUAUUUUGAUACAUGCAUUUUAGAUAAACCUAAGACAAAAAAUUUGAAACGGAGGGAAUAGUAA